AAUGAUACUUCCCAUUUAGGGCCAGCGAAAAGGCAAGUAGCUGGGAAAGCAUCGCUCCGGCUGGGAUAGGCCGGAGGGAGCUUUC
This 85-nucleotide small RNA is filed under the name Oxobacter pfennigii. RNAcentral's name for it is "dinG RNA". It matches the Rfam family "dinG RNA". The record is from Rfam by way of RNAcentral. Lineage: Bacteria; Bacillati; Bacillota; Clostridia; Eubacteriales; Clostridiaceae.